RNAcentral lists this unclassified non-coding RNA (164 nucleotides) under uncultured Rhizoscyphus. RNAcentral describes it as "sequence contains ITS1". The record is from RNAcentral. Lineage: Eukaryota; Fungi; Ascomycota; Leotiomycetes; Helotiales; Helotiaceae.
AAGAAUCGCCCCGUUUUUUGAAAUGGGUUCUAUUCCCAAACCGUGUAUACAUACCUUUGUUGCUUUGGCAGGCCGCCUUUUAGGCGUCGGCUUCGGCUGACUGCGCCUGCCAGAGGACCCCAACCUCUGAAUGUUAUCGUCGUCUGAGUACUAUAUAAUAGUUA